This is a non-coding RNA of Acanthosepion pharaonis, 109 nucleotides long. The record is from the annotation of a GenBank genome assembly. Lineage: Eukaryota; Metazoa; Mollusca; Cephalopoda; Sepiida; Sepiidae.
CGGCCACAUCACAUUCAAACAGCAGUUCCCGUACGAUCACCGAAGGAAAGCAACGUCAACCCUGGUCAGUACCUGGAUGGGUGACUGUUUGGGAAUACCAGGUGCUAUA